This 465-nucleotide ribosomal RNA is filed under the name uncultured bacterium. RNAcentral describes it as "partial 16S ribosomal RNA". It matches the Rfam family "Bacterial small subunit ribosomal RNA", at positions 28 to 507 of the family's 1533-position model. The record is from RNAcentral.
GACGAACGCUGGCGGCGUGCUUAACACAUGCAAGUCGAACGGUAAGGCUCCAGCUUGCUGGGGUACACGAGUGGCGAACGGGUGAGUAACACGUGGGUGACCUGCCCUGCACUUCGGGAUAAGCCUUGGAAACUGGGUCUAAUACCGGAUAGGACCGCACCGUGAGGGUGUGGUGGAAAGUUUUUUCGGUGUGGGAUGGGCCCGCGGCCUGUCAGCUUGUUGGUGGGGUAAUGGCCUACCAAGGCGGCGACGGGUAGCCGGCCUGAGAGGGUGGACGGCCACAUUGGGACUGAGACACGGCCCAGACUCCUACGGGAGGCAGCAGUGGGGAAUAUUGCACAAUGGGCGGAAGCCUGAUGCAGCGACGCCGCGUGGGGGAUGACGGCCUUCGGGUUGUAAACUCCUUUCACCAUCGACGAAGGGUUUCUGACGGUAGAUGGAGAAGAAGCACCGGCUAACUACGUG